This 257-nucleotide ribosomal RNA is filed under the name uncultured bacterium. RNAcentral's name for it is "partial 16S ribosomal RNA". It matches the Rfam family "Bacterial small subunit ribosomal RNA", at positions 98 to 354 of the family's 1533-position model. The record is from RNAcentral.
UCGGACGGGUGAGUAACGCGUGGAAAACCUGCCGUAUACUGGGGGAGUAACACUUAGAAAUAGGUGCUAAUACCGCAUAAGCGCACAGCUUCGCAUGAAGCGGUGUGAAAAACUCUGGUGGUAUACGAUGGUUCCGCGUCUGAUUAGCUAGUUGGUGGGGUAAUGGCCUACCAAGGCAACGAUCAGUAGCCGGCCUGAGAGGGUGAACGGCCACAUUGGGACUGAGACACGGCCCAAACUCCUACGGGAGGCAGCAG